RNAcentral lists this small nuclear RNA (107 nucleotides) under Aotus nancymaae (Ma's night monkey). The record is from RNAcentral. Lineage: Eukaryota; Metazoa; Chordata; Mammalia; Primates; Aotidae.
GUGCUUGCUUUGGCAACACAUAUACUAAAAUUGGAACAAUACAGAGGAGAUUAGCAUGGCCCCUGCAUAAGGAUGACACACAAAUUCAUGAAGUGUUCCAUAUUUUU